UACUCUUCGUUUUUCUAUUCAACUAACGUUAUUUGAUUACAUACAUGAGGAAUUGAUGUUGGAAGGAAGACGCGACUAUGUGAUAAUACUGUUUGUAACAUUCGAUACAUAAUAACUGUUUAUUCUGCUUAUGUUCUAAGUUUCACCAGCCUUAUUUUAUAAUCAACAUUCGAGGUGCAGCUAGUGUGCGCGGGACCCCCUGCGAGGAGAUGGAAAAACGCGGCAAGGUUCUUGUUAUAGGACAUAGUUUUAUUUCACGACUGAAGAGGCUCCUGGGAUAAAGUGAAUUAUUUCCAGCGGAUUUUAACCUUGCCCAGUGCGAAAUCCGAUGUUACGGAAUAAGCGGAGGACGAGCAGAUAGUUUGCUUCGAGAUCAAGACCUACAGAAUUACAUAACUUCUUUAAAACCGGUAGUGAUUUUACUACAGUUAGGAGGAAAUGACAUUUGUUAUUCAUCUGCAAGACCAGAAAAAGUAGCAUGUAGCAUUGCAGAGCUCAUGGAAAUGCUUGGAAAGAUUAAAAGUGUACAGGUCGGUGUGGUCUGUGAACUUUUUAAAAGACUUAGGCCUAGAAAUAUUCCACCACAGUUGUAUGAGGAAAGGCGGAAGAUAAUCAACAACAUGCUGCCCGUGUUACUUGGAGAUUUAACCCAUAAGAAAAUGUUGUUUUGGCGACAUCUCCGCCUAAUGAACAGCCCUUACAUGUGUUGGGUAGCGAUGGGGUACAUCUAUCUGCAGUCGGUCAUAAGAAAUUUUACAGAAGCAUCAGACUGGCUAUCAUGCAUGCUCUAGAUUUCAUAGUUUGAAUUGCAUGUCAUUAGGGUUUUAUACUCCAGUUCAUUUUGUGUGCAUACAUGACCUCAUUUACCUGACAAAGGAAUUGUUGCAUGUUGCCAUAUCAACAUCAAGAUGUCCACUAGACGGCCAUCUAAACGGAAAAGGCUGGCAUUAACGAGCUAGACUGAGACCAUUCAGCCUCCUACUAUAUCAGUACAAGCGGAGACAUUUCAACCAGAGGCAAUGGACCAAUCAAAGACCAAUGAAACUGUUCAGUCAAUCUCUGCAGCAGUGACCGCUCUGGUAUCAGAAAACUUGAAGGCGUCAGGUCUGUUACCAAAACCAACAGAUGCGAGCAACAAAGCGGCCACAGCAUCCGCAGCAGUUGGUCCAACCUCCCAAAAUGAGGGUAUGCAUGAUCAAAAUAACGACUCAAGUUCAAUUCCUUACAAGGCCACGGUUAAUUUGUAUGUUUGUAUUAUGGAGAUUGUGUAUUUGUUACCUGUGAAUGGUUUUUUUGCAUGUUUUUAGUAAUAGUUCAUUAUGUAAUCAUGCAUUAGUAUUUUGUUUACAUGUAUGUUUUACAUUUUUGUUACCUUUGUCAUUAUGUAAUCAUACAUUAGUAUUUUUAUUUACAUGUAUGUUUUACAUGUUUUUUACCUUUAAAAAUUUUUACCAAGUUUUGAGUAAAAAAAUU
This is a long non-coding RNA of Magallana angulata, 1473 nucleotides long. RefSeq lists it as uncharacterized. NCBI's taxonomy places the organism in Eukaryota, Metazoa, Mollusca, Bivalvia, Ostreida, Ostreidae. The transcript is spliced from 3 exons. The record is from RefSeq and is a predicted model, not a curated record.